GGGGGUGUAGCUCAGAGGUAAAGUGUAUACCUAGUAUGCAUGAGGCCCUGGGUUCAAUCCCCAGUGCUACCA
RNAcentral lists this transfer RNA (72 nucleotides) under Urocitellus parryii (Arctic ground squirrel). RNAcentral describes it as "Spermophilus parryii (Arctic ground squirrel) tRNA". It matches the Rfam family "tRNA". Rfam says of the family: Transfer RNA (tRNA) molecules are approximately 80 nucleotides in length. Their secondary structure includes four short double-helical elements and three loops (D, anti-codon, and T loops). Lineage: Eukaryota; Metazoa; Chordata; Mammalia; Rodentia; Sciuridae. The record is from Rfam by way of RNAcentral. RNAcentral also lists the same sequence under 2 other names.